CCUACGGGAGGCAGCAGUGGGGAAUAUUGCACAAUGGGGGAAACCCUGAUGCAGCGACGCCGCGUGAGUGAAGAAGUAAUUCGUUAUGUAAAGCUCUAUCAGCAGGGAAGAAAAUGACGGUACCUGAGGAAGAAGCCCCGGCUAACUACGGGCCAGCAGCCGCGGUAAGACGUAGGGGGCAAGCGUGAUCCGGAUUUACUGGGUGUAACGGGAGCGUAGACGGCAGGGCCAGUCUGUAGUGAAAGGCGGGGGCUCAACCCCCGGACUGCUCUGGAAACUGUUAGGCGGGAUUGCAGGAGAUUGAACUGGCAUUCCUAGUGUAGCGGUGAAAUGCGUCGAUAUUAGGAGGAACACCAGUGGCGCUGGCGGCUUACUGGACUGUAACUGACGUUGAGGCUCUACAGCGUGGGGAGCAAACAGGAUUAGAUACCCGGGUAGUC
RNAcentral lists this ribosomal RNA (440 nucleotides) under uncultured bacterium. Its description in RNAcentral is "partial 16S ribosomal RNA". It matches the Rfam family "Bacterial small subunit ribosomal RNA", at positions 338 to 795 of the family's 1533-position model. The record is from RNAcentral.